GUUUUUUUUUCAGUUGAUUGCGCGCACAUUUUCUUUCUUUCUUAAAUUUGCGCUCGACCCCCAUUGCCAUUCACUAUCCUUCGUAACAGAAAGGGGGCCGUAGCCGUGCCCCGGUUAUCGCUCUUGCCGUCGUUUUCAGACGGUGCCUGGACGCAUCAAUUAACGCCGAUACCUCCAUCGCUCUAUCGUGUUGCCGGGACACGUGAGUGAUCUCGGCAUGAUCUCGAGUCGAUUUUUAGAAAGAACAAACAGCAGCACAGAUUCGCAAAGAAGGGAUGGAUAAAUUAAAGAAAAUAAAAACAGAGACGUAGUAAUAAAUGUAGUAAGGCAGCUCCUCUCACUACCUGACAAAGUGCAACACUGCGGUUCUCACUCUGUUCCGGGCAAUUCCGCUUCCGGGCUUCCGGGCUUUCGAGACUAGACUUGGACCAGAUACUUGGCCCUGCCGUUCUCGAUCGGGUGAUGGAGAGUCCUCGACAUCGGGUGACGAUGACCGGCCAUGCUGAUGAGGCAAGGAUGGAUGAUGAUCGUGAGACUGAGACGCGAGGCAGAGUCGCUAAGUGAGAACGUGCGGUAUUGUGCGUGUGCCGUAUGAUUUGUCAAGGUGCCAAGGUGUCAACGAGCAGCGUUGCGAAUAAUCUCGUCGAGUGCUCGAGCACAAAAUACAUACUUUAUUUGGAUGGCAGCCAACGAGGACGGAAAUCCGCAAUGCGUGUGGCAGACAUAAAACAAUAAUACAAUAAAUACAAAAAGUCUAAUUAACCGAUAAUCAAUAAUAAUUAUAACGCGAUAUCCGCAAUAACAAUGAAAACAAUGACGACGAUGAUGUUGAUGUCAAUGAUGAUGAGCGCUGUUAGCACAAAAGGAAAUUGGCAAUGAGAUUGCGACGUUGAAACCCGCAAGAGGAUAUAACGAACCAAAAUGAUUAAUCGAAAGAGAUACGAUUUGUGGCAUUCCUUUAUCGUUAAUGCACAGCUAGUCAUCUAAAUCUAGGGGCAACGACAACAAUUAUUCAUGCCGCAGGGCCGAAUAAAAUUAACAGGACUGUCCGCUGACGUAUUAGCCGCCAAGAUGUCGUCUUCAGCGUGUAGAUCUCGAUCUAGACUCUGCUCUGCUCUCCACCUGGUAAACCUGUUUUUGCGUCUUUAUGUCUUCAUGUACACAUAACCAUGCGAGGCGAAGCGUCAUGGCAAACGUUGAUUACUUUCACGCGCACUCACGCGCACACACGCAAAGAAAAACGCACGCGCGCAAACAUUCUUUGCCAACAAGCGAAUUGUCACGUCGGCUUACGAAUUAAUUAUGAACCAUCGGCACGUUAUAUUCCGUUGUUUAUCCGAAAAAUGAUGUGGAAUCUUGAUUAUAUCCGCGACGUUUUAGUCGAUGUUUUGGAUUGAAUAAAUUAUUACACAUUUAUCAUCACUAUAAUUAUUAGAAAUGUCAUUUCUAUCAAAAUUAAACAAUUCAUGAGA
This is a long non-coding RNA of Cataglyphis hispanica, 1472 nucleotides long. RefSeq lists it as uncharacterized. The transcript is spliced from 3 exons. The record is from RefSeq and is a predicted model, not a curated record. NCBI's taxonomy places the organism in Eukaryota, Metazoa, Arthropoda, Insecta, Hymenoptera, Formicidae.